Molecule: long non-coding RNA, 448 nt
Organism: Humulus lupulus (European hop)
Lineage: Eukaryota; Viridiplantae; Streptophyta; Magnoliopsida; Rosales; Cannabaceae
Exons: 3
Source: RefSeq, a predicted model, not a curated record
AUUCACUCUCAUCUGAUUUUUUAAGACCAUUCAAAGUGUUCUCUCAAUAUUCAACCUCAAGAACACCAAGGAAAACUUGGAGGCUAAGUCUUGGUCUAGGAAGUAUUUUCCCUAAGUUGGUUAGGGUUUUUGAAAGGUUUUGGAGGAGCCAAAGCUAAUAGGAAGGUCCAAACCUUAAGCAAGAACACCAAAGAGGUAAGUGCAAGGGCAAGGCAGAGCAGUGAGCGCUGGAGUCUUCCUUGCAAAUGUACAUGUGGACCGACCUUUUGGGAAGCCUUUUUAUUUUUGGAAAUGUUGUGUAAUUUUCCUAAACUAGGCUCACUCUAAUCUUUAUAAAACAUGUUUGUAAUUAAAUGUUAAGUAUGGCCAUACGACUUUUUAAAAAGUUUUUUUUUCUAUGGGUUUUUGAGACAUUUUGUUAAAUGAAAACAUUUAUAUUUCCGCAUUA